Non-coding RNA from Tulasnella sp. 419, 139 nucleotides. Lineage: Eukaryota; Fungi; Basidiomycota; Agaricomycetes; Cantharellales; Tulasnellaceae. The record is from the annotation of a GenBank genome assembly.
GGUUCUUUGGUGUAGUGGUUAUCACGUAUCCUUCACAAGGUCUCCCAUGCCACUUGUACAGGCAUUGUUCGAUGGCUGUUCGAGCGGCGUGAGGGACUGUCCCCGGAUAAGGCCGCCGGUUCGACCCCGGCAAGGAUCA